Molecule: ribosomal RNA, 468 nt
Filed under: uncultured bacterium
Lineage: Bacteria
Description: SSU rRNA
Rfam family: Bacterial small subunit ribosomal RNA
Source: RNAcentral
AGAAUCAACGCUGGCGGCGUGCCUAACACAUGCAAGUCGCACGAGAAAGGGUAGCAAUACCUGAGUACAGUGGCGCACGGGUGAGUAACACGUGAAUAAUCUACCUCCGAGUGGGGAAUAACCUAGGGAAACCUGGGCUAAUACCGCAUAACACUUACGAGUCAAAGCAGCAAUGCGCUUGGAGAGGAGUUCGCGGCAGAUUAGCUAGUUGGUGGGGUAAUGGCCCACCAAGGCGAUGAUCUGUAUCCGGCCUGAGACGGGGCGUCGACGGAACGACGACCUGGAAACGUGAAACACGGUCCAGACUCCUACGGGAGGCAGCAGUGGGGAAUUUUGCGCAAUGGGGGAAACCCUGACGCAGCAACGCCGCGUGGAGGAUGAAAUAUCUUGGUAUGUAAACUCUUUCGAUGGGGAAGAUUAUGACGGUACCCAUAGAAGAAGCCCGGCUAACUUCGUGCCAGCAGCCGC